CCUACGGGGGGCAGCAGUGAGGAAUAUUGGUCAAUGGCCGGGAGGCUGAACCAGCCAAGUCGCGUGAGGGAAGACGGCCCUACGGGUUGUAAACCUCUUUUGUCAGGGAGCAAGGUGCAGGUCGGGACCUGCUGUGCGCGUACCUUAAGAAAAAGCAUCGGCUAACUCCGUGCCAGCAGCCGCGGUAAUACGGAGGAUGCGAGCGUUAUCCGGAUUUAUUGGGGUUAAAGGGUGCGCAGGCGGAGGCACAAGUCAGCGGUAAAAUCGCGGGGCUCAACCCCGCUCCGCCGUUGAAACUGUGGCCCUGGAGUGCGCGAAGGGUAGGCGGAAUGCGUGGUGUAGCGGUGAAAUGCAUAGAUAUCACGCAGAACUCCGAUCGCGAAGGCAGCCUACCGGCGCGCAACUGACGCUCAUGCACGAAAGCGUGGGUAUCGAACAGGAUUAGAUACCCGAGUAGUC
RNAcentral lists this ribosomal RNA (459 nucleotides) under uncultured bacterium. Its description in RNAcentral is "partial 16S ribosomal RNA". It matches the Rfam family "Bacterial small subunit ribosomal RNA", at positions 338 to 795 of the family's 1533-position model. The record is from RNAcentral.